Molecule: ribosomal RNA, 1176 nt
Filed under: Triticum aestivum (bread wheat)
Lineage: Eukaryota; Viridiplantae; Streptophyta; Magnoliopsida; Poales; Poaceae
Description: partial small subunit ribosomal RNA
Source: RNAcentral
AUGGACUUCGAAAGUAGUGACUUGUGGCUGACCAUAGCUAUUUUGUCCAUAUCACUAGCACUUACCGGCAUUGCAAGACGGAUACUCACCUUUAAUCCAAUGUGCACACAAUCGCUCCCUUUGGUGAAUAGUAUUACUCUCCUAGGACAAUUACCUAAGCUUUUGAUGAGGGGUAUUCAAGUUACGAUCCAUGAUCUAUAUACAAAAUUUGUUAGUGUGUUCACAAUGGAUUUGUUUGGACACAAGAUAACCUUCUUGAUUGGACCUGAAGUGUCAGCUCAUUUCUUCCAAGCACCUGAAUCAGAGAUCAACCAAGAGGUUGACUUUGGUGUUGACAGCGCCACACGAAGUGAACAAAGCCGGUUCUCUAUCGUUGCGCUAAGGUCAUCCAAGUUGAGAAACCAUGUUGAUCCCAUGCUUCAAGAAGUGGAGCACAUUUUUGCAAAAUGGGGACAAGAGGGCAUAAUAGAUCUAAAGCAUGAGCUCAGUCAAGUACUACUGUUGAUCUCAGGUCGGUGCCUACUAGGAAAAGAGAUUCGGGAGAAUAUGUUGGGUGAGUUCUACGCAUUGUUUCAUGAUAUUGAAAACGACCUUAACUUGAACAACCUUGUAUUCCCAUAUAUCCCAACCGCGAUAAAUCGCCACUGCGACCGUGCGCCCAGCAAGCUCACGGAAAUGCUCUCUAAAAUCGAUGCACUAAAAAACCUGAUUCAUUCCAAAUACAGAGAUGGGCACUCCAUGACCGAAUCAGAGGUCACUGGGCUAAUGGUUGCUUUGGUCUUUGUUGGAAAGCACACGAGCUCUCAAUCUAGUGCCUGGACGGGUGCUUACCUACUCAAUGACUGCUUGGUUGCGGUCGUCAAGGAGCAAAAGCAAAUCAUCAAGAAACACAGGGACCAGAUCGACUACGGUGUCUUGCUUGAGAUGGAUACCCUGCAUGGUUGCAUCAAAGAGGCGCUAUGGUUGCACCCUACGACACCAGUGCUAAUUCGCAAGGCACAUAAGCACUUCACUGUGUGGACUGAAGAAGGCAAUGAAUAUAACAUCCCAACAAGAUCCAGUGCGGUUUGGUUCUCAAAGAAAGGAGGACAAUGUCGGAGGAAAGUUCUCUUACACAUCAUUAUCUGGUGGAAGGCAUGCUUGCCCUGGCGAGGCCUAUGCUUACAUGCAAAUUAA